GACGAACGCUGGCGGCGUGCCUAAUACAUGCAAGUCGAGCGAGUCUGCCUUGAAGAUCGGAGUGCUUGCACUCUGUGAAACAAGAUACAGGCUAGCGGCGGACGGGUGAGUAACACGUGGGUAACCUGCCCAAGAGAUCGGGAUAACACCUGGAAACAGAUGCUAAUACCGGAUAACAACAGAUGAUGCCUAUCAACUGUUUAAAAGAUGGUUCUGCCAUCACUCUUGGAUGGACCUGCGGUGCAUUAGCUAGUUGGUAGGGUAACGGCCUACCAAGGCGAUGAUGCAUAGCCGAGUUGAGAGACUGAUCGGCCACAUUGGGACUGAGACACGGCCCAAACUCCUACGGGAGGCAGCAGUAGGGAAUCUUCCACAAUGGACGCAAGUCUGAUGGAGCAACGCCGCGUGAGUGAAGAAGGGUUUCGGCUCGUAAAGCUCUGUUGUUGGUGAAGAAGGACAGGGGUAGUAACUGACCUUUGUUUGACGGUAAUCAAUUAGAAAGUCACGGCUAACUAAGUG
Molecule: ribosomal RNA, 519 nt
Filed under: uncultured bacterium
Lineage: Bacteria
Description: partial 16S ribosomal RNA
Rfam family: Bacterial small subunit ribosomal RNA
Source: RNAcentral